This 450-nucleotide ribosomal RNA is filed under the name uncultured bacterium. RNAcentral describes it as "bacterial SSU rRNA". It matches the Rfam family "Bacterial small subunit ribosomal RNA", at positions 29 to 523 of the family's 1533-position model. The record is from RNAcentral.
AACGAACGCUGGCGGCAUGCCUAACACAUGCAAGUCGAACGAACCCUUCGGGGUUAGUGGCGCACGGGUGCGUAACGCGUGGGAAUCUGCCCUUGGCUUCGGAAUAACAGUUAGAAAUGACUGCUAAUACCGGAUGAUGUCUUCGGACCAAAGAUUUAUCGGCCAGGGAUGAGCCCGCGUAGGAUUAGGUAGUUGGUGGGGUAAAGGCCUACCAAGCCGACGAUCCUUAGCUGGUCUGAGAGGAUGAUCAGCCACACUGGGACUGAGACACGGCCCAGACUCCUACGGGAGGCAGCAGUGGGGAAUAUUGGACAAUGGGCGCAAGCCUGAUCCAGCAAUGCCGCGUGAGUGAUGAAGGCCUUAGGGUCGUAAAGCUCUUUUACCAGGGAUGAUAAUGACAGUACCUGGAGAAUAAGCUCCGGGCUAACUCCGUGCCAGCCGCCGCCGUAA